UAUAGGCUGAUUGGUCCAUUGCUGAGAUGAAUGCUGAGAUUGGGGAGAGCCACACCUACCUCUACACAUCACAGACUGAUGAACAGGAAGCCAUGGCCAGGAUGCAACACAUUUUAAGUGGGGGGGUUGUAUUUUGAUUUUGAUUUAGUGCAUAUUUCAUGUUCUGUUUCAUUGAUGUGUGUAUUUAUUUAGCAUUUUGUUUACUAUUUUUAUCUUUGACAUCUUAAUACUUUGUAUUGAUAUUUUCACACCUUGUUAUGUUACAAUUACAAUUUUGUUUCUUUAAUUAAUUAUUAUAAUAAUGGUUUAUUUUUUAAUUUUGCAAAGCGCCUUGAGUGUCUUUUUAGGCAGAUUUUGGCGUUCUUGAUAAAUGCUCAAUAUUUAAUUUUUAAGCCAUUCUGGAUAAAAAAAAUGUUGGAAUUAUAGGGCUAAUUGUUCAUAAUCAUCAUUUACCUUUUUCAAGAAAUAUCUGAAAAUGAAAAUGAAAUUUCAAGAAGAUUUGGCCCUUAGGCUUAAUUCUAGUCGUCAUAAGUUUAUUAUAAACUUGGCUUGUCUAUGACUACAAUGCAGCUGCUAUACCAGAAAUAGCUCCAAUUCUUGCUGGAUGUGAAUGACUGUCUAAUGCC
This 626-nucleotide long non-coding RNA is filed under the name Patiria miniata (bat star). RNAcentral's name for it is "uncharacterized LOC119726159, transcript variant X1". The record is from RNAcentral. Lineage: Eukaryota; Metazoa; Echinodermata; Asteroidea; Valvatida; Asterinidae.